RNAcentral lists this unclassified non-coding RNA (209 nucleotides) under uncultured fungus. RNAcentral describes it as "sequence contains ITS1". The record is from RNAcentral. Lineage: Eukaryota; Fungi.
UUAAUUCAUUGAAUUUUUUCUCAGACUACACUAAUAUUCGAGUUUAAAGGUCCAUUGCCCUAGAGGCCGGACGGAGCGGCACGCGGGUUUCCCCAACGCCCCAAUCAGCCGACAUAAGGCAAGGCAACUAGUGGUUUAAAACAAAGGGUUGGAGGUUGGACUUGCGUCCUUUCUCUUUAAUGAUCCUUCCGCAGGUUCACCUACGGAAA